GGGUUGUAAACCUCUUUCGAAGCGCAAGUGACGGUACCUGUAGAAGAAGCACCGGCCAACUACGUGCCAGCAGCCGCGGUAAUACGUAGGGUGCGAGCGUUGUCCGGAAUUACUGGGCGUAAAGAGCUUGUAGGCGGUCUGUCGCGUCGAUCGUGAAAACGUGCAGCUCAACUGCGCGCCUGCGGUCGAUACGGGCAGACUAGAGUACUUCAGGGGAGACUGGAAUUCCUGGUGUAGCGGUGAAAUGCGCAGAUAUCAGGAGGAACACCGGUGGCGAAGGCGGGUCUCUGGGAAGUAACUGACGCUGAGAAGCGAAAGCGUGGGUAGCGAACAGGAUUAGAUACCCUGGUAGUCCACGCCGUAAACGGUGGGUACUAGGUGUGGGUUUCCUUCCACGGGAUCCGUGCCGUAGCUAACGCAUUAAGUACCCCGCCUGGGGAGUACGGCCGCAAGGCUAAAACUCAAAGGAAUUGACGGGGGCCCGCACAAGCGGCGGAGCAUGUGGAUUAAUUCGAUGCAACGCGAAGAACCUUACCUGGGUUUGACAUACACCGGAAGCCGUAGAGAUACGGCCCCCCUUGUGGUCGGUG
Molecule: ribosomal RNA, 590 nt
Filed under: Nocardia otitidiscaviarum
Lineage: Bacteria; Bacillati; Actinomycetota; Actinomycetes; Mycobacteriales; Nocardiaceae
Description: bacterial SSU rRNA
Rfam family: Bacterial small subunit ribosomal RNA
Source: RNAcentral